UACGUAGGGGGCAAGCGUUGUCCGGAUUUAUUGGGCGUAAAGAGCGUGUAGGCGGCCAUACAGGUCAGCUGUGAAAACUCGAGGCUCAACCUCGAGACGUCGGUUGAAACCGUUUGGCUAGAGUCCGGAAGAGGAGAGUGGAAUUCCCGGUGUAGCGGUGAAAUGCGCAGAUAUCAGGAAGAACACCUAUGGCGAAGGCAGCUCUCUGGGACGGUACUGACGCUGAGACGCGAAAGCGUGGGGAGCGAACAGG
This 253-nucleotide ribosomal RNA is filed under the name uncultured bacterium. RNAcentral's name for it is "partial 16S ribosomal RNA". It matches the Rfam family "Bacterial small subunit ribosomal RNA", at positions 524 to 776 of the family's 1533-position model. The record is from RNAcentral.